Molecule: long non-coding RNA, 5885 nt
Organism: Acinonyx jubatus (cheetah)
Lineage: Eukaryota; Metazoa; Chordata; Mammalia; Carnivora; Felidae
Exons: 2
Source: RefSeq, a predicted model, not a curated record
CCUGGGUGGCUCAGUCUGUUAAGCAUCUGACUCUUGAUUUUGGCUUAGGUCAUGAUCUCACAGUUGUGAGUUCGAGCCCUGUGUUGGGCUCUGCGCUGACAGUGUGGAGCCUGCUUGGGACUCUCUCUCUCUCUCCCUCUGCCCCUCUCCCGCUCUUUCUCUAUCUCAAAAAUAAAUAAACAUUAAAAAAAAAAAAACCCUGAGUAACCAAAUUAAGCAUUGUUCCAACCUGGAUCCCCAUGCCCAGUCCCUCUCUGAUUUUCUUGGCUGUGAAUAUUUCCCAGUAAAGAUCCCGAGUCUCUAUAAGAGCAUCAGUCUAUGCAAGAGGCAUUGUUUCAUCGUCUCAGAUGUCUUAAAUGCCAGAGCCUCCCACCGCAUGGCCCUGUUUCUUCCGCUGCUACACAUUCUUAUCUUUUAUUGCUUACAUCAGAAUCUUUGCCCAUUAGAAAGGUCCUUACAGAAAAUGUCAGAAAUUCAAAAGAAAAUGACAGAGGAAUACAAAUUGGAACAACAACAAAAUACCACUUUUAACUUACAAAGUUGGCAGAGCAUACAAAAAGGAACUGUAUCAGUGUUUGCUUAGAACUGGUGAAAAGACAAAUUGGCAUCAUGUGUCUGGAAGGACCUUUGCAAACACACACUGAGUAUCUUAAAAUGUCUGUUGAUCUUUAAUUUCUCUGCUAGGAAUUUUCCUAAGGAAAUACAUACGUAUACAAAGACUAUUACCCCAAUGAUGUUUACCAUUGUAAAAAAAAUGGAAUUAUCUUUAAUGUCCAAUCUUAUGGUACCAGCUGAAUAUAUUAUGCUACAUUUAUACGACAUAUGAUAAGGAAUACUAUGCAGGUAUUAAAAAAUUAUCACAAUAUAGUAAAGAAGGAAAACAACAGAAUUUAAACCAGUACGUAUACACUUUGUAGCAUAGCAUUUAUAAUGUUAGAAAAGAAGGCCUGCAAUUCAUAUACUAAAUUAAAUAACAAUUAUCUCUAGGUCGAGAGAUUAUGGGUGAAUUUUAUCUUUGCUUAUUUUCCAGAUCUAUACUUUCCAAAUUUUCCACACAUGACAUGUCUUCAAUGUCAUAAAAUGGGUUUUGCCCUCUUCCUUAUUUUUCUUUAAAAAUAUUUUCAUGAUUUUCCUUAUAGAUAAUUAAGUAAGGAAAGGGGUAAAACAACCAAAAAGCCCUAUUACCCUACCCGAAAGAACUGCAUAGCACCUUUCCUCUCCUUUAGCCAGUAUCUUCUUUAAAAUACGGUAUCAGAAGAGAUCACCAACACAGUUGAGGGAAACUGAAAACAAAAGAAAGCGAAACGCACACACACAAACCAUUAAACAGUGAAACAGCCGCAAGAUGCAACUGAUUUCAAAAGAAAAAAAUCCAACAAUACUCAGUUCCCUGUCCGUUCUCUAAACUCAAGCUGUCUGCUAAGCCCGGUAAAUUCAGGAAGCGGUUGUUUUCCUCCCUCCCUCUCUCUCUCCUUUAGAACGAGCUGUAUUCACGCAGCUGCAAGGGCUGGUAGGACCCCUCGCUGCAGGAUGGGGGAGAGAACGCAGAGCAGAAAAAGAUCCACGAUGCACAAUCAGGCGCGUAGCUCAGCGAAGGCAUAUAGGGGCUGCUCAGGGAAGGGUGCCUAUAAUUGCUAUUAUUUACUUAAAAAAUGUAAAAAUCAGGACAGCCCCUUUUGGAGGAAAACAAGCAGGAGCACUGAGCUAGCGUCACCCAGUUCCCAGGCAGCUGACCGCUGUGCACAGCAGCAAGUCAACCAGAAGAACUACUGAGCCGUUUCCGGGGUUUCACGGGAAGGAUGAAGAGUCCUGAGAGCCCGUAUCCCCUUAGGGGAAGUGGGUCACUUGGGCCCCAGAUGUGCCUCUCAGCCCGGACUCAAGCCUGCGUCAGCACCUGCCGGCUGGCCGGUCACCGGGCGGAGCGUGCGCCCUCGGCGUUGCAUAAUCCUCCCUGGGCUGCCUCGCACCGCGCGCUUGUCGUAGGCUCCCCCUGCUGGAGCAACGGGGAAACGGCGCGUUCCCGGACCUGGGCUCCUGGCCCCAAGCUUUCUCCACUUGUCUUUUCCCACCGCGCCACCACCAGAAGGGAAUUUUCUGCAGAGGAGAAGCAAUGAACCUUAACCCCGCAGCAUAAAGCAUCCCCUGGAGCAUCCGUCAGUAGACACUUGCAAUGGGAGGAAGGGCUCAUUCUCAACAGUCCUCACAUGCUCCAAUUCUUGUCUUAAGCCUGUGCACCGAGGCGUGGGGAGGCCAGGCCUCCGUCUGGCAGAGCAGAGCAGAGACCCGGCCAUAGUGUCCCAGGGGAGCACCAAGAGACCGGUGUCUUGCUUUUAACCGCGCAUCAUACCACAGAGGCAGAAGGACCCUCAGACUACAGGGACGUCCUAAGCUUUCUCUCCUCCCUUCCUCUUCCCUACCUUCCCCCUGCACCCCCACUGCCCCCCCCCCCCACCCUUCCCCACUUAACUCCUGUCUGGACCAACGGCCUGUGGCUUCUGUAGAACUGCAGUAAUGCCCCUUGAAGUGAGAUUCAACUAGCAAUAAGAAUAUCAGAGGCAUUCAGUCUUGCCUCUGACUUGUCUUUUCAAAAAUUUACGACCACUGAGCUUGGGUGGGCUGUGUCAGCCCCAAAUUUCCCAUACCACGGUGCCCUUGCACUUAGAGAAAGGCAGUGUCGUAAUUGUGCGACCGAGAAAAAGUAACCGAUACCGUCACCUUCCCUUUGCUCUGUGACAGAUGUGACACAUCUCUCACCGGAGCUGUGGCUGAAGUGUGUCCAGGGUGAGUAGAGACCGAGGGGCUGACCGUGUUGUGCAGGCGAAAACCACGUGCCCCUAGAGUACUCUCUCAGAAUCUUUUAGGGAAUCCUUGACAUUUAAUUUUGGUCCACGUUAUUUAUGAUCUUAUCUUCUCGUGGCUCUCAAUCCUAGCUGCCCUUCAGAAUCACCUAGGGAGCUUUUAAAAAUUGCUGAUGUUCAGGCUGUGAAUAAUUAAAUCAGAACCUCUGGGGAGUGGAUCCAGGUCGUCUGUAUUUUUUUUUUUUUUUUUUUUUUUAAGAUUCUCAGGUAGGUACAAGGAUCAGCCCAGGUUUAAAAACACUGCCCUAGUCUUUACUUUCCUAGCUUGAAAGAUACGACCUGAUACAAAAUAGGAACUCAGCAGUGUUUGAUGAAUGAACAAAUUAAUAACAAGGAAUGGGAAGGGCAGAAAACAGAUGUAUAUUCCUUUAUAACAAGUAUGCUAAAGUAUUGCCAUUAGUGGAUUAAUAAAUAACUAAGAGUAGACCAUACCAUAAAGGCAGUUCGAAAACUAGGGGUGGAAAGCUCCAAGACAGGCUUAAGGAGAUGGCUCAGGUGGCUAAUGCUUAUGGGAAAAGGUUCCGAAGCAGCCUGUGUCUAGUAAAAGAAUCGAUUCUUGCUUGGAGGUGUGUGUGUGUGUGUGUGGGCGGGGGGGACCCAGGACAGGAAGGAGUUGGGAGAGGGGAAGAAUUUGAAAUCUCCCAACUGAUUAGGAAGAGAGGAUGGCAGGGUUCCCUGUGUUUCAGCAAGUUAAUGUGCCUGCAGAGCCUUGUUGAGCACACAGAGCAUGUGGAACUUGGGGCACCCGGGAAUGGUUGAAGCAGGGCACCAGGUACCACGUGUUGAGUGGGGACGGGACACAAACCCAUCCAAGAGACUCAGGAGCAAGAUACCCAUGCGGGGAGUCUCGGCACAUCCGGUCUGCCACCCAAACUAGCAGGUGAACUCACUGAGAUCAGAAGUAGUAUAUUUCUCAGACCCUUUCUGGAAAGUUUCCCCACAUACCUGGAAGUGGACUGGCUUCUCAAGUGAGUGUAAACAGUAGGGCAACUGAAAGAAAAAUUAAGGACAGAAUUCCAGUUCAAUGGGAUUGCAAGUAGUUAAAACCCAUGCAGUAAGUGUGGCACCAGACAGAGCCCUUCUGGGACAAGUGGAUUGCUAAAAAGGAGCUAAGUGGUUAAGACACGCGCGGAAUGAAAAUAGGUCUCGGGUAGGACUAAGCUGGCCCUCAGGAAUUGUACCUCCAGGCUUGAAGCUGACCAAUUUUUCAUAAACAGCUAAGAUUGUUUCCUUUCUCAUGUUUAGAUUCAAAAGAGGAUUAAUAGCUUAGAGUUUCUGUCAGUGCUUGAAGCAAAACGGUGUACCUUCUUAGUCACUUCAGAAUGACCUGCUUCAUAAUUCUGUGGCAUCAGUUCUGUCCCCAGCUAACAUUUCAAAUAUAACUGGCUCAUUUAACACAGUGGAAUAGUUAGAUAAAUGUGGAAGCUCUUAGGUAAAAGUGGAAGGAAAAAAAAUGUUUUUCUAUCCUGGGUUGGGGGAGAGGGCUUUUAUGAGGUCUUGGACCCUCACAAAUAUUCCCUGAUUUGACAUUAAGAAGCCUUGCCCAGUCUCACAAUUCUGUAAUUCCCAGUCGACUGUUACGAUGCAUACUGUGAAUGCUCAGACAAUCUGAAGUUUCUCCUUCCUCCAACUUGAACCCAAGUGAGGCUUUGGAGAUGAGAAAGAUGGGUGGGAGCACAGGUGGCCCUCUCACUACUUCCUUACUUGCUAGUUGUCUUUUAAUCGCUCUGAGGUUGGGGGUGAAGGGUUAGAGGGUGGCACAGCUGUCAUCUGGUGCUGGUGACCUUGUAGACGCAUCACAUGUUUGAAGGUCUCCUGUGGGAUGUCUGUUUGCAAGUCUUUGGAGGUCCUUUCUCUGGAGACGUGAAGCUCUCUCCAAAUGGGAAAUGCCUGUCACCUGUCAUCUGGCAGUUGCCUGCAGCUUCUAGCUCAGUCUCUGCACUUUGGUGCUCCACCCCUCUCUUGGGUCAUACGUGGCUCCAGGCAUUCCCCAUGGGUGACCUUUUUCUAGAUUAUCUCAACCCAACUCCCCCAAAGGUUCAUACUUCUUUUCUGACAAACUCAAGCCUUUGCCUUGCUUAAGUGAGGGGACACCUGGCUCAUUCUCCUAUAGGAGGCUUACACACAUGUCCUCUGACCUUUAGACUUUUAAGCAUAUCUUGGAAUUUGGUCCUCAUGUUCCCUACAUUCCCAGACACACAGAAACAAUUCUCCACAAGUCUCCUUAAAAACCUUUCCACUUGGGCUUAAGGUAAGGGGCACCCAUUCCUUUUCCCAUGUUGGCAGGAUCUAAGGAACAUAACAACUAACUCCAGAUAUGUCCUCUGGACCUUUCCAUCUUAAUCUCUCAAAAACUUGCAAGUGAGGUCGAGCAUCUCACUUUAGAAGAGAGAGGUUGUUGGCACUUGUGGAAGUUUUAAAAUAUAUUUAUAAUUUGUAUUAACAUCUCGCUUUGAAAAGCGGAACUUAAUUUCCUUACCCUUGUGUGUGGCUGGACUUAGGGGCUUAUUUCUAGAAAAUAGAAUAGAAACAAAGUGAUGAGAUUUCCAAGAUAAGGUCAUAAAAAGGCAUUGUAGCUUCCUUCUUGCUUCUUUUCUUUUUUGGAUCACUUGCUGUGGGAGAAAACAGCUGCCAUAUUGUGAGGACACUCACACAACCCCUGGAGAGGUCCAUGUGACAAGAAACUAAGCCUCCUGUCAACUGCCUUCUGGCCAAGUGAGAGUCUCUACCUGAGGGCUUCCUCUGGCCACAGGAGCCUACUGUCUUGAAUGGUGGCCACACAACUACUGAGGAGUUCUUGCCUCCAGGAGCAGCUGUCCUCUGCUGAUGGGAAGGGUUGGUGAAUAAUACCUCAGGAACCUCUCCGACUGGGUGGGGCAACUUUCCGAUGUGUUCUCCACAGUAACUCAGGGGCUCCCAGUAGCACCUUGUCCACUGAUGCCCCAUAUUGGCUUCUGUCCCUUUUGGGUCUCACUUUCCUACUCCAUGGUGGAAUGGGAUCAUUUCCCAUAUAAAUCAUUUGUACUU